Molecule: long non-coding RNA, 3674 nt
Filed under: Homo sapiens (human)
Lineage: Eukaryota; Metazoa; Chordata; Mammalia; Primates; Hominidae
Description: HSALNT0176925
Source: RNAcentral
CGGAGCCCGGCACUCGUGACCUCGCCAGCUCUCAGCUCCCUCGGGCGAUUUCGUGCACGCUAAUGUGCGCCUCUGUGUUUUCCUAAAUGCUGGUUUCUUCAUCAAGCGGCGGAAUAACGCAUCAGGGCAGGUGACCCACGUCACCGGGGUGAUGCACUGGUGCUCGCCGGGGCGGGCGCUGUGCCUGCGGGAGCCGCGCGGCCGGCGCGGUGUCGGGGCGCCUCGUGGGGGCCGAGCCGCGCCCGCACGUCCCUCAGAACUCUCAGUGAGUGUCAGAUCAACACAUUCAUCCACCAUAUCCCGUGUGUAUAAGAACAAUCCAUCACUCCUGACCUAAUCCAGCACAGAACAGAACUUCUGGAAGAGGACUAAAGAAGAGAAAGAGUGGAAGUGUCACAUGCCCAGAGGAAAAUAGAUGCGACAGAGAUGAAUAAAACAAAACAAAACAAAAGGAAGAAAGCCAAGCUAAUCUGGGAGUUCCAUCACGGCUAAGAACGCAUCUUUGUUUUGUCACGCGGUUUCUAGCCCGGCUCAGACCUGGGCUGCGGCACCUCAGGCAUCUCCUUUCAUCUCUCGGCUUUUCUCCUGGCUCCCGGGCGCUUCUCGAGACUUUUUGGACCUGGACUGGUCCAUGGCAGAACACCUCUUUCCUGAGUCCUCCCUAUGCACCUGCCCAAAGCGGGGGAUUGGGGUGGCACUCUCCAAGAUGCCAGGCUCCUCAAAUGGAGCCAUCACCCCCUAGGCUGUACUUGGCAUUGUCUCCAAGGAGCCUGGGGAGGUAACCGGUUGGGGACUGAUUCACUUGGGAGGGAGGGAGCGAGUGCAGAUUGCAGAUGCUAUCUAGUCGGGCCAAGUCAACCUGGGGAAGGGCAGGUCUGUGUCUCAACUGGUUUAGGGGUGGGAGAGUGGGAUUGGAACUUUUACACCUUGCAUUCUUAGGACGUCACAAUGGUUUUCCCAAGGCCUCCUUAUCUGAGGGUGUUUACCUAUUCAACCAGCAUACGCAGGUUCAGGACUCCCACUUUGUCCGGGUUCUGUCCUCACAGGCACAGGAAGAUUAAUGCGAACAACAGGGUCUGACAAACCAAAACUCACAGAUAAGAGACUUGGGUUAUUAGGGCAGAUGCCAGAAGUCAUGGGAUCUUCACGGGGUGGCUGUAGGCUGAGCAAUCUCCCUCGGGAUGUGAGGGGGUGUAUUUCUGCGUUAUUGGUCAUUGAGAAAUUCCCUAAUCUUAGAGAGAAAAGGAAUGAAACCAAGGGCUUGAAUCGGAGUAUACGUAGUUGACCUAAUUAUAAGGUUGUCCAUCCAUCUGUUUAAUAAAUAGUUCCAUGAUGUGGGACGGCAAGGUCACUCAUAGCCCUGAACAUUAACAACGUUUUCCUAAGGUUCUGGAAAAAAAGUGGUAACCAUGUGUUCAGCUGCAGGCUUGUUCUGUCUCAGGCCUCAGGCUGACAUGAAUCAGAAAUAGAGGGAAAUGUGGAAGUGGCAUUGCAAAUAUUAGUUCUAAAAACGGACUGGGAAGAGAGAGUGCCUCUAGACCCAGUCAUGGCCUAGCCAAGCCCCAGAAGAAUGACAUCACCCAUUGUGCCUCGUGGGGAGCCCCUGAGGCUGUCAUGGAUUUGUAGUCCUAUGUGGGACAGCGCUGCUGACGCGGUUAUUUCCUGCACUAGACCUACCCUGUCAGCAAGACACUGUUUACAUGAGCUGAGUGCCAAGUUGCGGCACAUUAUGCACAAUCGCUUUUAAGUUCAAUUAAAUUAACGUUUAGAAACAUUGUAGAUAGAAAAAGCUAAAGAGCAUUUUAGCAAACAGUGAUUACCUAGAGAUGCAAGUGCUUUGAAUUUGAGCAUUAGAGAACUUGUGAAUUUGUAGGAGUUAAGCAGGACAAGUACCCAUCUAAUGAAUGUUCAUAAGGGAAGCGCGCGUGUAGGAGGCAUUUCAGGUAGCCCAGCGCAGACCAAGGAGGGAAGGAAACAGAUAAGAUGUCAGAAAACAUCUUCAAAUACCCAGAGUUGUUAUCCCCUCCACGAAACAUUGGAGGGCGAAUUGUUUGGGUCAGUAAAAUAGAAUCAUAAAGUGUGAAGAAGAAACCUGUGGAACAUUCUGGAAGAAUUGGUCAGAGAUGGGCCGGGCGUGGUGGCUCACACCUGUAAUCCCAGCACUUUGGGAGGCCGAGGUGGGUGGAUCACCUGAGGUCAGGAAUUCAAGACCAGACUAGCCAACAUGAUGAAACCCCGUCUCUACUAAAAAUACACAAAAUUAGCCGGGCGUUGUGGUGGGCGCCUGUAAUCCUAGCUACUCAGGAGGCGGAGGCAGGAGAAUUGCUUGAACCCGGGAGACAGAUUGCAGUGAGCUGAGAUUGCGCCACUGCAGUCCAGCCUGGGCAACAAGAGCGAAACUCCAUCUCAAAAAAAGAAAAAAAAAAAAAAAGAAUUGGUAAGAGAUGAAUACCCCAUCACAGCCUCUUUGAUUUCAGAGGUGAAAUAGUUGAACCCCAGACCUCACUGUCAGAUGUAAAGAGUCACUCCAAAUUUAUAAGCUCAUUAAACUAGUAUUUCUGACCGUUUACACAUUUGGCUGUAGAGAAAAUACACAGAAUGCUUCCAGCCACACCUAUGCCUACUCAAGCCACUUAGCUGACAAGCCACUUAGCUUUUUCUUCUAAUUACUCGGGUGCGCGUCUCUGUUAUUUACAAAGUUUGGUGAAGUCAGGGCAGGGGGAAUUUAUGGUUCGAUACCCUUUCUAGCACAGAGGGGUAAAAUUCAGCCUGUCUUUUGAAAUCAGUCUGAACUGUCAAACUCCCAGUUGAGGACUCCUCUCCCCAAAUCAGGAAUCUUUUUUGUUUUCUCUGGCUAUGGGCCACAGUCAGGGCUUUGGAGUUCAUUUGUAUGCCCUCCCCCAUCCCCAUUAGUGUUAUUGUGUAUAUUUGAGGUACUUAUUCUUCACUGACCAUAGGUGAAUAGGAGCUGGUUCACCUAAAAGCUCCCACUCCCCAUUCACUUUUUUUUUUUUUUUUUUUUUUUUGAGAUGGAGUCUUGCUCUGUUGCCCAGGCUGGAGUGCAGUGGUGAGAUCUUGGCUCAAUGCAACCUCUGCUUCCCAGGUUCAAGCGAUUCUCCUGUCUCAGCCUCCUGGGUAGCUGGAAUUACAUGUGCCCACCACCACACCCGACUAAGUUUUCGUAUUUUUAGCAGAGACGGGAUUUCAUCAUAUUGGUCAGGCUGGUGUCGAACUCCUGACGUCAGCUGAUCCACCUGCCUUGGCCUCCCAAAGUGCUGGGAUCGCAGGUGUGAGCCACCGCACCCAGCCCCCAUUCACUUUUGUUUUAGGAAAUGAGAAAGCUUCUGCCUUUUUUCUUUCCUUCCUUCCUUGGAUGUUAGUUAAGAUCAGUGAGGUAAUGGUGAUAAAGUACUUUGAAUUACCUCAAGGAGAGUGCAGCCCAACUUGUUAUUAUUUACCUAGGUCAGUUCACAAACCCCCACGAUCUAGGGUUCCUGUCUCCUGCCCUGGGGAUGGUGCCUGGGAGAAAGGAGAUGUCACAGACCCAGUCCCACAGGGCGCUGUUGGCUGGAGUUGGUCAUUCCUUACUUUGACAUCAACAGGCUUAUCUCUAGAAAUAGGCUAAAUGGUAGCUCAGGCGCCGGUGUUGCCUCAUCCCGCAAACUCCCAGGGAG